This is a non-coding RNA of Callorhinus ursinus (northern fur seal), 397 nucleotides long. The record is from RefSeq and is a predicted model, not a curated record. NCBI's taxonomy places the organism in Eukaryota, Metazoa, Chordata, Mammalia, Carnivora, Otariidae.
AGCACAUGUACACGAGACGCCUGAUUAAGCAGGACUUAAGAAAGUGGUAACAUAGGUCUGAAGGGGUGAAGUCAAGGAGAUGAUGGACUGGAAUAUAAGAGACUCUGAAGGCAGAAAGAGCAGCAAGGAUGCUAUUACGGUGUUCCAGUUCUCCGGGCUGGAAGCAAAGUUGGAUUCUGGAGAGAGCCUUCUUCCAGUGCAGACUGCAGACUGCUGACUUCUGGUUGUUUUCUCACCUGCCAGAGAGCAGAGACAAGAAGCAAGCUCUUUUGUGACUCCUAGAAGGGCACUAAUCCCAUUCAUGAGGGCUCUACCCUCACGACCUCACCUAAUCCUAAUCACCUCCAAAGUCCCCACCUCCUAAUACCAGUGCAUUGAGAGAUAAGAUUUCAAUAUA